RNAcentral lists this transfer RNA (84 nucleotides) under Mustela putorius furo (domestic ferret). It matches the Rfam family "tRNA". From Rfam's summary of the family: Transfer RNA (tRNA) molecules are approximately 80 nucleotides in length. Their secondary structure includes four short double-helical elements and three loops (D, anti-codon, and T loops). The record is from Rfam by way of RNAcentral. Lineage: Eukaryota; Metazoa; Chordata; Mammalia; Carnivora; Mustelidae.
GCCUGGGUGGCUCAGUCAGUUGAGCAUCUGCCUUCUGCUCAGGUUGUGGUCACGGGGUCGUGGGAUUGAGCCCCACGUCAGGCU